Non-coding RNA from Danio rerio (zebrafish), 388 nucleotides. Lineage: Eukaryota; Metazoa; Chordata; Actinopteri; Cypriniformes; Danionidae. The record is from RefSeq and is a predicted model, not a curated record.
CUUAUUUUUGAGAUAGCACGCUCCUGUGCUGACUGUUUUUUUUUAAAGCAGAAGUUGGUUUCAUAAUAAACACAUGCGUGACUAAACUCAUGAUCCACACUCCAAUCCAGGCGGUGGCGGUAAUGCUCCAAAAAGCUGGUUGUCAACCACCAUGGCACGAAGAUCACAAGAAUAAAAAGUUUGGUUUUUUUUAAAGACUUCACAUGGAUUCCGGUCAGAAAGAUGCAUAUGAGGAAGCUCGACUAAAACAUCCACAUGCAACUGUGAUUUCUGACUGGUAGACGGAUGAGGACGAUGAUUGCCUGUCAUACAUCUCAAGACAGAACAGGGACAGUAUAGACGCAUCUAUACCGUGAUGAAGAAAAAUUACUUGGAACAAAGAGGCUGG